UAAUACAGAGGGUGCAAACGUUGUUCGGAAUUACUGGGCAUAAAGCGCACGUAGGCGGUUUGGUAAGUGUGAGGUGAAAUCCCACGGCUCACCCGUGGAAUAGCUUUGCAUACUGCCAGACUCGAGGAAGGUAGGGGAGAGCAGAACUCUUGGAGGAGCGGUGAAAUGCGUAGAUAUCAAGAGGAAUACCAGUGGCGAAGGCGGCUCUCUGGUCCUUUUCUGACGCUGAGGUGCGAAAGCUAGGGUAGCGAACGGGAUUAGAUACCCCGGUAGUCCUAGCCGUAAACGAUGGAUACUAACUAGAGGCCCUCCUGAAGGGUCUCUGGUGAAGCAAAUGUAUUAAGUAUCCCGCCUGGGGAGUAUGGUCGCAAGGCUA
RNAcentral lists this ribosomal RNA (376 nucleotides) under uncultured Planctomycetota bacterium. RNAcentral describes it as "bacterial SSU rRNA". It matches the Rfam family "Bacterial small subunit ribosomal RNA", at positions 521 to 896 of the family's 1533-position model. Lineage: Bacteria; Pseudomonadati; Planctomycetota. The record is from RNAcentral.